This 484-nucleotide ribosomal RNA is filed under the name uncultured bacterium. Its description in RNAcentral is "partial 16S ribosomal RNA". It matches the Rfam family "Bacterial small subunit ribosomal RNA", at positions 30 to 507 of the family's 1533-position model. The record is from RNAcentral.
AUUGAACGCUGGCGGCAGGCCUAACACAUGCAAGUCGAGCGGAUGAAGGGAGCUUGCUCCUGGAUUCAGCGGCGGACGGGUGAGUAAUGCCUAGGAAUCUGCCUGGUAGUGGGGGAUAACGUCCGGAAACGGGCGCUAAUACCGCAUACGUCCAGAGGGAGAAAGUGGGGGAUCUUCGGACCUCACGCCAUCAGAUGAGCCUAGGUCGGAUUAGCUAGUUGGUGGGGUAAAGGCCUACCAAGGCGACGAUCCGUAACUGGUCUGAGAGGAUGAUCAGUCACACUGGAACUGAGACACGGUCCAGACUCCUACGGGAGGCAGCAGUGGGGAAUAUUGGACAAUGGGCGAAAGCCUGAUCCAGCCCUGCCGCGUGUGUGAAGAAGGUCUUCGGAUUGUAAAGCACUUUAAGUUGGGAGGAAGGGCAGUAAGUUAAUACCUUGCUGUUUUGACGUUACCAACAGAAUAAGCACCGGCUAACUUCGUG